UUGCCAUCAUUCAGUUGGGCACUCUAGCGAGACUGCCGGUAAUAAACCGGAGGAAGUGGGGAGUGACGUCAAAUCAUCAUGCCCUUAUGACCUGGGCUACACACGUGCUACAAUGGUUGGUACAACGAGUUGCGAGUCGGUGACGGCGAGCUAAUCUCUUAAAGCCAAUCUCAGUUCGGAUUGUAGGCUGCAACUCGCCUACAUGAAGUCGGAAUCGCUAGUAAUCGCGGAUCAGCACGCCGCGGUGAAUACGUUCCCGGGCCUU
Molecule: ribosomal RNA, 265 nt
Filed under: uncultured Streptococcus sp.
Lineage: Bacteria; Bacillati; Bacillota; Bacilli; Lactobacillales; Streptococcaceae
Description: partial 16S ribosomal RNA
Rfam family: Bacterial small subunit ribosomal RNA
Source: RNAcentral